RNAcentral lists this ribosomal RNA (460 nucleotides) under uncultured bacterium. RNAcentral describes it as "partial 16S ribosomal RNA". It matches the Rfam family "Bacterial small subunit ribosomal RNA", at positions 338 to 795 of the family's 1533-position model. The record is from RNAcentral.
CCUACGGGUGGCAGCAGUGAGGAAUAUUGGUCAAUGGGCGAGAGCCUGAACCAGCCAAGUCGCGUGAAGGAUGACGGCCCUACGGGUUGUAAACUUCUUUUGUCAGGGCGCAACAGCGUCCACGCGUGGGCUUAGCGAGAGUACCUGAAGAAAAAGCCUCGGCUAACUCCGUGCCAGCAGCCCGGGUAAUACGGAGGAUGCGAGCGUUAGCCGAAUUUAUUGGGUUUAAGGGGUGCGUAGGCGGAAUAUCAAGUCAGCGGUAAAAAUUCGGGGCUCAACCCCGUCGUGCCGUUGAAACUGAUGUUCUUGAGUGGGCGAGAGGCAGGCGGAAUGCGUGGUGUAGCGGUGAAAUGCAUGGAUAUCACGCAGAACUCCGAUUGCGAAGGCAGCAUGCCGGGGCCCAACUGACGCUGAGGCACGAAAGCGUGGGUAUCAAACAGGAUUAGAUACCCUUGUAGUC